GUAAUUUAGCCACUCUGGACGUAAAUUAGACUCUGGUAACCCUAUUGCUAGCCACUCUUGGCGUAGGCUUGGUCGUACGAAUCGUAGCUCAGUCUACGGCUAAAUUCGUGAAAUAAAUUAAACUUCACAACUAACUUAAGACUCGCAAAGUUAAUUGACGUAAUAAGUUAGAGAUACAAAAAUUGUCGAGAAUAGGACUUAGAACUUUUUUGAGAACCUAAGAUUCUAGAUUUCAUUCCCUAAUGUGUAGUUGAGCUCUGGCCGAAGCGACAGAGUAACUUUGGGACCCGUAUCAAGGCCAAAGCGACAAGAUGGGGUAGGAUCGUUAAGGCCAUAGCGACAAAACGAUUUAAAUCAAUUAAGGCCAUAGCGACAAAAUAGAUUUUGUAUUGUGGGUAUUUAGAACCUCUUGGGGUUAGGUUCAUCUGUAAUUAUCAACUACCUAAGACUCUACACUUAUACCCUACUGUAGUUGAACUCUGGCCGAAGCGACAGAGUAACUUUUGGAUCCGCAUCAAGGCCAAAGCGACAAGAUGGGAUGAGAUCAUUAAGGCCAAAGCGAAAAAUGAUCUCCAAGUCUAUCAAGGCCAAAGCGACAAGAUAGAAGAAUUAUUAAG
This 617-nucleotide long non-coding RNA is filed under the name Zostera marina. RNAcentral describes it as "long non-coding RNA (ZMAR_LNC004862)". Lineage: Eukaryota; Viridiplantae; Streptophyta; Magnoliopsida; Alismatales; Zosteraceae. The record is from RNAcentral.